GACUCUCGGCAACGGAUAUCUCGGCUCACGCAUCGAUGAAGAACGUAGCAAAAUGCGAUACUUGGUGUGAAUUGCAGAAUCCCGUGAACCAUCGAGUUUUUGAACGCAAGUUGCGCCCGAAGCCAUCUGGUUGAGGGCACGCCUGCCUGGGCGUCACGC
This 159-nucleotide ribosomal RNA is filed under the name Crepis lacera. Its description in RNAcentral is "5.8S ribosomal RNA". It matches the Rfam family "5.8S ribosomal RNA". Rfam says of the family: 5.8S ribosomal RNA (5.8S rRNA) is a component of the large subunit of the eukaryotic ribosome. It is transcribed by RNA polymerase I as part of the 45S precursor that also contains 18S and 28S rRNA. Lineage: Eukaryota; Viridiplantae; Streptophyta; Magnoliopsida; Asterales; Asteraceae. The record is from RNAcentral. RNAcentral also lists the same sequence under 2 other names.